Non-coding RNA from Xyrichtys novacula (pearly razorfish), 104 nucleotides. The record is from the annotation of a GenBank genome assembly. NCBI's taxonomy places the organism in Eukaryota, Metazoa, Chordata, Actinopteri, Labriformes, Labridae.
ACCUGGUUAUAUACUAAGACAUUACCUGGUUAUAACCUAGUUAUAUCCUGAUACAUAACCUGGGUAUAACCUGGUUAUAACCUGGUUAUAUCCUGAGACAUUAC